RNAcentral lists this ribosomal RNA (237 nucleotides) under uncultured bacterium. RNAcentral's name for it is "partial 16S ribosomal RNA". It matches the Rfam family "Bacterial small subunit ribosomal RNA", at positions 28 to 265 of the family's 1533-position model. The record is from RNAcentral.
GACGAACGCUGGCGGCGUGCUUAACACAUGCAAGUCGAGCGGUAAGGCCCUUUCGGGGGUACGACGAGCGGCGAACGGGUGAGUAACACGUGGGUGACCUGCCUCUAGCUCUGGGAUAAGCCUGGGAAGCUGGGUCUAAUACCGGAUAUGACCUCGCGGUGCAUGUUGCGGGGUGGAAAGCCUUGUGCGGCUAGGGAUGGGCCCGCGGCCUAUCAGCUUGUUGGUGGGGUGANGGCC